CAAUCAUCACCUACUAGGAUGGAUGUUCAUCUAAACGUCGAACAC
RNAcentral lists this small RNA (45 nucleotides) under Vibrio cholerae O1 biovar El Tor str. N16961. The record is from RNAcentral. Lineage: Bacteria; Pseudomonadati; Pseudomonadota; Gammaproteobacteria; Vibrionales; Vibrionaceae.